GUAAUGGUGUUGUGGAGAGAGGCACUGAGGCUAGUGGUGUUGUAGAGAGAGGCACUGAGGCUAGUGGUGUUGUGGAGAGAGGCACUGAGGCUAGUGGUGUUGUGGAGAGAGGCACUGAGGCUAGUGGUGUUGUGGAGACCGGCUUGGAGACUAUGGUGAGGCCUAAUAGAAAGCAGUUGUUGUUGGGUGAUUCCAUUAUAAGAG
Non-coding RNA from Pelobates cultripes (western spadefoot toad), 204 nucleotides. NCBI's taxonomy places the organism in Eukaryota, Metazoa, Chordata, Amphibia, Anura, Pelobatidae. The record is from the annotation of a GenBank genome assembly.